GAUGAACGCUGACAGAAUGCUUAACACAUGCAAGUCAACUUGGAUUUGGGUUUUUAACUUAGGUUUGGGUGGCGGACGGGUGAGUAACGCGUAAAGAACUUGCCUCACAGCUAGGGACAACAUUUGGAAACGAAUGCUAAUACCUAAUAUUAUGAUAAUAGGGCAUCCUAUAAUUAUGAAAGCUAUAAGCGCUGUGAGAGAGCUUUGCGUCCCAUUAGCUAGUUGGAGAGGUAACGGCUCACCAAGGCGAUGAUGGGUAGCCGGCCUGAGAGGGUGAUCGGCCACAAGGGGACUGAGGCACGGCCCUUACUCCUACGGGAGGCAGCAGUGGGGAAUAUUGGACAAUGGACCAAGAGUCUGAUCCAGCAAUUCUGUGUGCACGAUGAAGUUUUUCGGAAUGUAAAGUGCUUUCAGUUGGGAAGAAAAAAAUGACGGUACCAACAGAAGAAGUGACGGCUAAAUACGUGCCAGCAGCCGCGGUAAUACGUAUGUCACGAGCGUUAUCCGGAUUUAUUGGGCGUAAAGCGCGUCUAGGUGGUUAUAUAAGUCUGAUGUGAAAAUGCAGGGCUCAACUCUGUAUUGCGUUGGAAACUGUAUAACUAGAGUACUGGAGAGGUAAGCGGAACUACAAGUGUAGAGGUGAAAUUCGUAGAUAUUUGUAGGAAUGCCGAUGGGGAAGCCAGCUUACUGGACAGAUACUGACGCUGAAGCGCGAAAGCGUGGGUAGCAAACAGG
RNAcentral lists this ribosomal RNA (735 nucleotides) under uncultured Fusobacterium sp. RNAcentral's name for it is "bacterial SSU rRNA". It matches the Rfam family "Bacterial small subunit ribosomal RNA", at positions 28 to 776 of the family's 1533-position model. The record is from RNAcentral. Lineage: Bacteria; Fusobacteriati; Fusobacteriota; Fusobacteriia; Fusobacteriales; Fusobacteriaceae.